AUGCAAGUCGAGCGGCAGCGGAAAGUAGCUUGCUACUUUGCCGGCGAGCGGCGGACGGGUGAGUAAUGUCUGGGAAACUGCCUGAUGGAGGGGGAUAACUACUGGAAACGGUAGCUAAUACCGCAUAACGUCGCAAGACCAAAGAGGGGGACCUUCGGGCCUCUUGCCAUCAGAUGUGCCCAGAUGGGAUUAGCUAGUAGGUGGGGUAACGGCUCACCUAGGCGACGAUCCCCAGCUGGUCUGAGAGGAUGACCAGCCACACUGGAACUGAGACACGGUCCAGACUCCUACGGGAGGCAGCAGUGGGGAAUAUUGCACAAUGGGCGCAAGCCUGAUGCAGCCAUGCCGCGUGUAUGAAGAAGGCCUUCGGGUUGUAAAGUACUUUCAGCGGGGAGGAAGGUGUUGUGGUUAAUAACCACAGCAAUUGACGUUACCCGCAGAAGAAGCACCGGCUAACUCCGUGCCAGCAGCCGCGGUAAUACGGAGGGUGCAAGCGUUAAUCGGAAUUACCGGGCGUAAAGCGCACACAGGCGGUCUGUCAAGUCGGAUGUGAAAUCCCCGGGCUCAACCCGGGAACUGCAUUCGAAACUGGCAGGCUAGAGUCUUGUAGAGGGGGGUAGAAU
Molecule: ribosomal RNA, 623 nt
Filed under: uncultured bacterium
Lineage: Bacteria
Description: bacterial SSU rRNA
Rfam family: Bacterial small subunit ribosomal RNA
Source: RNAcentral